Molecule: ribosomal RNA, 465 nt
Filed under: uncultured bacterium
Lineage: Bacteria
Description: bacterial SSU rRNA
Rfam family: Bacterial small subunit ribosomal RNA
Source: RNAcentral
CCUACGGGAGGCUGCAGUAGGGAAUCUUCCGCAAUGGACGAAAGUCUGACGGAGCAACGCCGCGUGAGCGAAGAAGGUCUUCGGAUCGUAAAGCCCUGUUGUUAGGGAAGAACAAGUACGGGAGGAAAUGACCGUACCUUGACGGUAACUAACGAGGAAGCUACGGAUAACUUCGUCCCAGCAGCCGCGGUUAUACGCAGGUAGCAAGCGAUGUCCGGAAUCAUUGGGCGUAGAGCGCGCGCCGGCAGUCUUUUAAGUCUGAUGUGAAAUCUUGCGGCUCAACCGCAAGCGGUCAUUGGAAGCUGGGAGACUUGAGUGCAGAAGAUGAAAGCGGUUUUCCACGUGUAGCGUUGAAAUGCCUAGAGAUGUGGAGUAACGCCAGUGGCGAAGGCGGCUUUCUGUUCUGUAAUUGACGGUGAGGCGCGAAAGCGGGGGGUGCAAACAGGAUUAGAUACCCGUGUAGUC